Long non-coding RNA from Rhagoletis zephyria (snowberry fruit fly), 172 nucleotides. RefSeq lists it as uncharacterized. The record is from RefSeq and is a predicted model, not a curated record. NCBI's taxonomy places the organism in Eukaryota, Metazoa, Arthropoda, Insecta, Diptera, Tephritidae.
AAGAAGGCGCAGUUGGGAAAUUGAGUAAUUAGUAAUGAAUAGCAGGCAUAUUUGGAAAAUUAUGCCGAUAAGCAGGAUGGAAUUUGGGAAAAAAUGUUAUAAAUCGAGUGGCUCAUUUACGAUGUGCUCCAAACAUUUGGCGAACUUUUUUUCGCCUUUUCAACGUGCUAAG